GAUGAACGCUGACAGAAUGCUUAACACAUGCAAGUCCACUUGAACUUCGGUUUGGGUGGCGGACGGGUGAGUAACGCGUAAAGAACUUGCCUCACAGCUAGGGGCAACAUUUGGAAACGAAUGCUAAUACCUGAUAUUAUGAUUUUAGGGCAUCCUAGAAUUAUGAAAGCUAUAUGCGCUGUGAGAGAGCUUUGCGUCCCAUUAGCUAGUUGGAGAGGUAACGGCUCACCAAGGCGAUGAUGGGUAGCCGGCCUGAGAGGGUGAACGGCCACAAGGGGACUGAGACACGGCCCUUACUCCUACGGGAGGCAGCAGUGGGGAAUAUUGGACAAUGGACCAAGAGUCUGAUCCAGCAAUUCUGUGUGCACGAUGAAGUUUUUCGGAAUGUAAAGUGCUUUCAGUUGGGAAGAAAAAAAUGACGGUACCAACAGAAGAAGUGACGGCUAAAUACGUG
This 454-nucleotide ribosomal RNA is filed under the name uncultured bacterium. RNAcentral's name for it is "partial 16S ribosomal RNA". It matches the Rfam family "Bacterial small subunit ribosomal RNA", at positions 28 to 507 of the family's 1533-position model. The record is from RNAcentral.